GAUGGGUGUUGUAUACGCAGGAAUUCACUUUUGACAUAACUCAUAGGGCUGGCUGCCAAAUGCAGCAUGUAGACGCCUUAAGCCGGAACCCGUUGAAAGAUGAUAACGAAACUGAAUCCGUGAUGUCUAUUACAGAAGGUGACUGGUUAUUGUCAGUUCAGUUACAAGAUGCAGCUAUAUGUAGUAUUCGCGAUAUUCUGUUGUCAGGGGAGGCCGAGUCUAAUAAACGGAUUUUUAAUGAAUACGAGGUGUUAGGUAAUAAAGUGUACCGACGUACAGAGUAUGGAAGGCGCUGGUUGGUUCCAAAAAGCUGUAUAUGGCAUGUAAUACGUGCAAACCAUGACGACGUAGGACAUUUUGCAGUAGAUAAAACUAUUGAGAGAAUUCGAGCAAAAUUCUGGUUUCCGCGUUUAAAAAAGACUGUUACAAAAUACAUAAAAAAUUGUAUAAAUUGCAUUUAUUACAAAAAUAUACAUGGUAAAAAACCCGGUAAAUUAUUUCCAAUUCCGAAAUACGCAAGGCCCUUUCAUACUCUGCACGUGGACCAUCUUGGCCCUUUUGUGAAAACAACUCAACAGAAUAGUUAUUUAUUAGUACUCGUAGAUUCUUUCACAAAAUUUGUGUUCAUUUCGGCGGUUAAAAACACAAAAAGUAUAGUAGUCAUUAAUGAGUUAAAUAAGAUUUUUAAGAUUUUCGGUAACCCAAAACGUUUGAUUUGUGACGCGGGUAGCGCAUUUACAUCCAAGUUAUUCACAGAGUAUUGCAACGCUAGGCAUAUAAGACGUCAUAUUAUCGCGACAGCCGUACCUCGCUCGAACGGUCAAGUCGAGCGAUACAACUUGACGAUUUUAGAGGCCUUGCGCAGCAUGGGCGCUGAUACAGAGAAUAAUAAAUGGGAUACGCACAUACCAAGUAUCCAACAAGGCAUUAAUAUCACUGUAAACAAAACCACAGCCGCAGUACCCAGUGAGGUUUUUUUUGGAUACCGAAUUCGAAUGAAUAAUGAUGCGAUUAUUGAUGAUAAUUUAGAAAGUACUAUCGAUGUCACUGCAUUAAGAAACACUGUCGAUAAUAAUAUUAAAAAAGAUGCCGAACGACAGAAGGCAUCAUUUGACUCAAAAAGAAAGGAGGCAAGACAGUAUAAUGUUGGCGAUUUAGUUGUGCUGAAAAUUCCUAGUCAGUCCAAUGAUGGUAAUAGCACAAAAUUAUUACCUUUGUACAAAGGGCCCUUCCAAAUUACCGAGGUUUUAGGACAAGAUAGGUACAAGGUCACUGAUCUUCGAGGCGCUGAAAGAAGUUCUAAAAGGUAUGAUGGAACGGCCUGCGUGGAGAAUAUGAAGCCGUGGAUUCAUAUAGAGGAGUAACCGGAUGUUGUCGAUGAAAGCUUCCGCAUCAGGCCCUAACGAGCUCCAGGAGUAGCUCGUGGCAGAGGACGGCCGGAUGUUGUCGCCACGGCAUUUUGGCAACACCACGUCGACGAUCCUGGCAACGCCGCGUGUGACGUACAUCCGGAGCUGUCAAACCCAACGUCAUAAAAGGACAAGCACAAGGCGGGAGCGACCACUUGCCAUCUAGCAGCCACCAGCGACGGAGUAUUUGGUUAAAUGUAUUGAUCUGAGUAUAAUUGUGUCAUACCUAUUUGCGAUAUCAUUCACGGUCGUAUUAAGUGUAAUAUGGUCUGCAUAUUAUACUUAAUACGAUCAGUUUGUUUCUGUAUUAUUGUUAAUUGGAUAAAUAAAUAAAUGUAUUAAUGUUG
Molecule: long non-coding RNA, 1756 nt
Organism: Cydia splendana
Lineage: Eukaryota; Metazoa; Arthropoda; Insecta; Lepidoptera; Tortricidae
Exons: 2
Source: RefSeq, a predicted model, not a curated record